AGAGGAUACCCUUUGUAUGUU
Molecule: microRNA, 21 nt
Filed under: Pteropus alecto (black flying fox)
Lineage: Eukaryota; Metazoa; Chordata; Mammalia; Chiroptera; Pteropodidae
Also listed under: 6 other names
Description: pal-miR-1185-5p
Source: miRBase by way of RNAcentral